GUGGCUGGCCUCCUCUGGCUGCGGUGCUGAGCUGUGUGCCCCAGCCAAAGGCUCCACACAGAGCAAGGCUGGUUCCUGCCGACAGGGCCUGUCCAGGCAUUGGGCUUCCUGUGCGAUGGUUCCAUACAAC
Molecule: non-coding RNA, 130 nt
Organism: Paramormyrops kingsleyae
Lineage: Eukaryota; Metazoa; Chordata; Actinopteri; Osteoglossiformes; Mormyridae
Source: Ensembl